Molecule: unclassified non-coding RNA, 200 nt
Filed under: uncultured Tomentella
Lineage: Eukaryota; Fungi; Basidiomycota; Agaricomycetes; Thelephorales; Thelephoraceae
Description: sequence contains ITS1
Source: RNAcentral
CCGAACUGUCAACACGAGUUGUCGCUGGCCCUCAAAUGGGGGCAUGUGCACACUCUGUUUACAAAUCCACUCACACCUGUGCACCCUCAGUAGUUCUAUGGUGUGGAGGACCCUGUCCUCCAGCUGUGGUUCUACAUCUUUACACACACACACGGUUAUAAAGUCUAUGGGAUGUGUUUAGCGUUUAACGCAAUAUAAUA